This 253-nucleotide ribosomal RNA is filed under the name uncultured bacterium. RNAcentral describes it as "partial 16S ribosomal RNA". It matches the Rfam family "Bacterial small subunit ribosomal RNA", at positions 524 to 776 of the family's 1533-position model. The record is from RNAcentral.
UACAGAGGGUGCGAGCGUUAAUCGGAUUUACUGGGCGUAAAGGGCGCGUAGGUGGUAAAGCAAGUAAGAUGUGAAAUCCCUGGGCUUAACCUAGGAAGUGCAUCUUAAACUGCUUAACUAGAGUAUGGUAGAGGGUAGUGGAAUUUCCGGUGUAGCGGUGAAAUGCGUAGAGAUCGGAAGGAACACCAGUGGCGAAGGCGACUACCUGGCCUGUUCUUGACGCUGAGGCGCGAAAGCUAGGGGAGCAAACGGG